CCAGCCUCCUCUCCCGCAUCGCCAUGCUCGCCACGAUAUUGAUGUGUAGCGUCUUGGUGGUGGCUGCAACGGCGCGGCCUGAGUCAGUGUCUAGCCACGCCGUCCCCGUGUACCAGGCACCGGCCCGGCCCCGCCCCUGCCCAACGCGCGCCAGAUCAUGAUCAGAUUCCAGCGCAGUACGACUUCACCUACGACGCCCAAGACCCUUACACCGGCAGGAACUUCGGUCACCAGGAGGUCCGCGACGGCUACAACACCCAGGGCUCUUACUACGUCCCCCUCGCCGACGGUCGCGUGCAGAAGGUCACUUACUACGUCGACGGGGAUUCUGGCUUCGUAGCUGAGAUCACGUACGAAGGAACAGCCACUUAUCCUGACCCCGCUCCUUCUUACGACCCCAAACCGACCUAUUCUCAGCCGGCACCUCCUCCCACCUAUUCCUAGAUCUCGUCCGUACCUCAGAGUCUCAUGUGAUGUUAAUGUGAUAUUUGUAUAUAAAGUUGAUCAAGCUUC
Molecule: non-coding RNA, 513 nt
Organism: Penaeus vannamei (Pacific white shrimp)
Lineage: Eukaryota; Metazoa; Arthropoda; Malacostraca; Decapoda; Penaeidae
Source: RefSeq, a predicted model, not a curated record